This 612-nucleotide ribosomal RNA is filed under the name unidentified microorganism. RNAcentral describes it as "bacterial SSU rRNA". It matches the Rfam family "Bacterial small subunit ribosomal RNA", at positions 75 to 680 of the family's 1533-position model. The record is from RNAcentral.
CUAGCUUGCUAGAUUGAUGGCGAGUGGCGAACGGGUGAGUAAUACAUCGGAACGUGCCCUGUAGUGGGGGAUAACUAGUCGAAAGAUUAGCUAAUACCGCAUACGACCUGAGGGUGAAAGUGGGGGACCGCAAGGCCUCAUGCUAUAGGAGCGGCCGAUGUCUGAUUAGCUAGUUGGUGAGGUAAAGGCUCACCAAGGCGACGAUCAGUAGCUGGUCUGAGAGGACGAUCAGCCACACUGGGACUGAGACACGGCCCAGACUCCUACGGGAGGCAGCAGUGGGGAAUUUUGGACAAUGGGCGAAAGCCUGAUCCAGCAAUGCCGCGUGUGUGAAGAAGGCCUUCGGGUUGUAAAGCACUUUUGUCCGGAAAGAAAUGGCUCUGGUUAAUACCUGGGGUCGAUGACGGUACCGGAAGAAUAAGGACCGGCUAACUACGUGCCAGCAGCCGCGGUAAUACGUAGGGUCCAAGCGUUAAUCGGAAUUACUGGGCGUAAAGCGUGCGCAGGCGGUUGUGCAAGACCGAUGUGAAAUCCCCGAGCUUAACUUGGGAAUUGCAUUGGUGACUGCACGGCUAGAGUGUGUCAGAGGGGGGUAGAAUUCCACGUGUAGCA